Molecule: ribosomal RNA, 532 nt
Filed under: Scutiger nepalensis
Lineage: Eukaryota; Metazoa; Chordata; Amphibia; Anura; Megophryidae
Description: partial 16S ribosomal RNA
Rfam family: Bacterial large subunit ribosomal RNA
Source: RNAcentral
UUUGAACCCUAUAAAAGGUAACGCCUGCCCAGUGACUUUAUGUUUAACGGCCGCGGUACUCUGACCGUGCAAAGGUAGCGUAAUCACUUGUCUUUUAAAUAAGGACUAGUAUGAAUGGCAUCACGAGGGCUUAGCUGUCUCCCUCAUCUAAUCAGUGAAACUGAUCCCCCUGUGAAAAAGCAGGGAUAAACACAUAAGACGAGAAGACCCUAUGGAGCUUUAAACCAAAAACUACCUGUUUAAUCUACUAUACUAAAAAUAAUACUAAAAUAACUGAUCUAGCUUAGGUUUUCAGUUGGGGUGACUGUGGAGAAAAAUAAAUCCUCCACGCAGACUUAAGCUUUGAGCAACCGCUCUUCGCAUUAGCAAGUCUAACUGCACUUGAUCCAAUAUUUUUGAUCAACGGACCAAGUUACCCUAGGGAUAACAGCGCAAUCCAUUUCAAGAGUCCAUAUCGACAAAUGGGUUUACGACCUCGAUGUUGGAUUAGGACACCCAAGUGGUGCAGCCGCUACUUAAGGUUCGUUUGUUC